UACGGUGAAUACGUUCCCGGACCUUGUACACACCGCCCGUCAAGCCAUGGAAGCUGGGUGUACCUAAAGUCGGUAACCGCAAGGAGCCGCCCAGGGUAAAACUAGUAACUGGGGCU
This 116-nucleotide ribosomal RNA is filed under the name uncultured bacterium. RNAcentral describes it as "partial 16S ribosomal RNA". It matches the Rfam family "Bacterial small subunit ribosomal RNA", at positions 1358 to 1482 of the family's 1533-position model. The record is from RNAcentral.